Molecule: ribosomal RNA, 497 nt
Filed under: uncultured bacterium
Lineage: Bacteria
Description: partial 16S ribosomal RNA
Rfam family: Bacterial small subunit ribosomal RNA
Source: RNAcentral
GAUGAACGCUGGCGGCGUGCCUAAUACAUGCAAGUCGAGCGAACAGAUGAGGAGCUUGCUCCUCUGACGUUAGCGGCGGACGGGUGAGUAACACGUGGAUAACCUACCUAUAAGACUGGGAUAACUUCGGGAAACCGGAGCUAAUACCGGAUAAUAUAUUGAACCGCAUGGUUCAAUAGUGAAAGACGGUUUUGCUGUCACUUAUAGAUGGAUCCGCGCCGCAUUAGCUAGUUGGUAAGGUAACGGCUUACCAAGGCAACGAUGCGUAGCCGACCUGAGAGGGUGAUCGGCCACACUGGAACUGAGACACUGUCCAGACUCCUACGGGAGGCAGCAGUAGGGAAUCUUCCGCAAUGGGCGAAAGCCUGACGGAGCAACGCCGCGUGAGUGAUGAAGGUCUUCGGAUCGUAAAACUCUGUUAUUAGGGAAGAACAAAUGUGUAAGUAACUAUGCACGUCUUGACGGUACCUAAUCAGAAAGCCACGGCUAACUACGUG